CGACGUGAGGGAACCUGCCUUUCAGAGGGGGACAACAGCUGGAAACGGCUGCUAAUACCGCAUAACACAUAGGUGUCGCAUGGCAUUUAUGUCAAAGAUUUAUCGCUGAGAGAUGGCCUCGCGUCUGAUUAGCUAGUUGGUAGGGUAACGGCCUACCAAGGCGACGAUCAGUAGCCGGACUGAGAGGUUGGCCGGCCACAUUGGGACUGAGAUACGGCCCAGACUCCUACGGAAGGCAGCAG
This 242-nucleotide ribosomal RNA is filed under the name uncultured bacterium. Its description in RNAcentral is "partial 16S ribosomal RNA". It matches the Rfam family "Bacterial small subunit ribosomal RNA", at positions 113 to 354 of the family's 1533-position model. The record is from RNAcentral.